CCUACGGGUGGCAGCAGUGGGGAAUAUUGCACAAUGGGGGAAACCCUGAUGCAGCGACGCCGCGUGAGUGAAGAAGUAUUUCGGUAUGUAAAGCUCUAUCAGCAGGGAAGAAAAUGACGGCACCUGACUCAGAAGCCCCGGCUCACUACGUGCCAGCAGCCGCGGUAAUACGUAGGGGGCAAGCGUGAUCCGGAUUUACUGGGCGUAAUGGGAGCGUAGGCGGCAAGGUAAGCCAGAAGUGAAAGCCCGCGGCUGAACUGCGGGACUGCUUUUGGAACUAUCUAGCUAGAUUGAAGGAGAGGUAAGUGGAAUUCGUAGUGUAGCGGUGAAAUGCGUAGAUAUUAGGAGGAACUCCAGUGGCGAAGGCAGCUUACUGGACUGUAAAUGACGCUGAGGCUCGAAAGCGUGGGGAGCGAACAGGAUUAGAUACCCGAGUAGUC
RNAcentral lists this ribosomal RNA (440 nucleotides) under uncultured bacterium. RNAcentral's name for it is "partial 16S ribosomal RNA". It matches the Rfam family "Bacterial small subunit ribosomal RNA", at positions 338 to 795 of the family's 1533-position model. The record is from RNAcentral.